This 389-nucleotide ribosomal RNA is filed under the name uncultured bacterium. RNAcentral describes it as "bacterial SSU rRNA". It matches the Rfam family "Bacterial small subunit ribosomal RNA", at positions 28 to 417 of the family's 1533-position model. The record is from RNAcentral.
GACGAACGCUGGCGGCGUGCUUAACACAUGCAAGUCGAGCGGUAAGGCCCUUUCGGGAGUACACGAGCGGCGAACGGGUGAGUAACACGUGGGUGACCUGCCCUCAGCUCUGGGAUAAGCCUGGGAAACCGGGUCUAAUACCGGAUAUGACUCCAUGACGCAUGUUGUGGGGUGGAAAGCCUUGUGCGGCUGAGGAUGGGCCCGCGGCCUAUCAGCUUGUUGGUGGGGNGAUGGCCUACCAAGGCGACGACGGGUAGCCGGCCUGAGAGGGCGACCGGCCGACACUGGGACUGAGACACGGCCCAGACUCCUACGGGAGGCAGCAGUGGGGAAUCUUGCGCAAUGGGCGAAAGCCUGACGCAGCGACGCCGCGUGAGGGAUGACGGCCU